This 492-nucleotide ribosomal RNA is filed under the name uncultured bacterium. Its description in RNAcentral is "partial 16S ribosomal RNA". It matches the Rfam family "Bacterial small subunit ribosomal RNA", at positions 28 to 507 of the family's 1533-position model. The record is from RNAcentral.
GACGAACGCUGGCGGUGUGCUUAACACAUGCAAGUGGUGCGACGAACCAGAGCUUGCUCUGGGGCAAAGCCGCGAACGGGUGAGUAACACGUGGGUAAUCUACCCCGAUGACCGGGACAACCCGAGGAAACUCGGGCUAAUACCGGAUGUGGUGCGGAGACAUAAGUCUCUUCACUAAAGGUAGCUUCGGCUUCCGCAUUGGGAGGGGCCCGCGGCCCAUUAGCUUGUUGGUGGGGUCAAGGCCUACCAAGGCAACGAUGGGUAGCUGGUCUGAGAGGACGAUCGGCCACACUGGGACUGAGACCCGGCCCAGCCCCCUCGGGGAGGCAGCGGGGGGGAUUCUUGCGCAAGGCGCGAAAGCGUGACGCAGCAACACCGCGUGGGGGAGAAGGCCUUAGGGUUGUAAACCUCUUUCAGAUGGGACGAAGGUUCUCCGGUGAAUAGCCGAGAGGAUUGACGGUACCGUCAGAAGAAGCUCCGGCUAACUACGUG